CCUACGGGAGGCAGCAGUGGGGAAUAUUGCACAAUGGGGGAAACCCUGAUGCAGCGACGCCGCGUGAGUGAAGAAGUAUUUCGGUACGUAAAGCUCUAUUAGUAGGGAAGAAAAUGACGGUACCUGACUAAGAAGCCCCGGCAAACUACGAGCCAGCAGCCGCGGUAAGACGUAGGGGGCAAGCGUUAUCCGGAUUUACUGGGUGUAACGGGAGCGUAGUCGGUAGCGCAAGUCUGGAGUGAAAUCCCAUGGCUUAACCGUGGAACGGCAUUGGAAACUGUGCGGCUGGAGUGCAGGAGAGGUAAGCGGAAUUCCUGGUGUAGCGGUGAAAUGCGUAGAUAUUAGGAGGAACACCAGUGGCGAAGGCGGCUUACUGGACUGUAACUGACGUUGAGGCUCGAAAGCGUGGGGAGCAAACAGGAUUAGAUACCCGUGUAGUC
RNAcentral lists this ribosomal RNA (440 nucleotides) under uncultured bacterium. RNAcentral describes it as "partial 16S ribosomal RNA". It matches the Rfam family "Bacterial small subunit ribosomal RNA", at positions 338 to 795 of the family's 1533-position model. The record is from RNAcentral.